This 3648-nucleotide long non-coding RNA is filed under the name Neogobius melanostomus (round goby). RNAcentral's name for it is "lncRNA (ENSNMLG00000021821.1)". Lineage: Eukaryota; Metazoa; Chordata; Actinopteri; Gobiiformes; Gobiidae. The record is from RNAcentral.
CCAAUAAUCAUUUUAAUAAUCGAAAUUUCCAUUAUUACUAAAAUAAUUGUGAGUAUUAUUUUUUCGAUAAUUGAGCAGCCCUUCUUGCAGGCUAGUUCUCCAGCAUCUUUGUGAAAGUGAUCCUGAAAAGUGACCCUUAAGUUGUGAAAUGUGCCGAUAAAGUCUUCCCUUAGAAGAAUGUGGAUGCUAUGUUCGGAAAGUUAGGAAUCAGUUGGGAGUGGGACCACAACUAACAUUUUAAUUGAGCAGUUUCCGCUGUAACAACAUUCAGGUAUAGGGCCUUUAAUGGCAGCCCUGAUCACCCCCCAACCCCCCCCCCCCCCCCCCCCUUGUGCUGUUGUGCUGUGUGCUAGACCUCUGGGCCUGACUGACUGUACGGAACAAACCAAAUCCUCUUUUCUACCACUUCCCCUUGGCCCUACGCCUUAAAACAGAGGCUGAAGGCGAGCACUAAAAAUAGAUUCUGUCUGCAUUUACAACAGGCAAAUCUAGUUUUUGUAUUUGCAGCUCAUUAAGAACACAUUUAGAGGUUUCUUUUUUCAUGGAGGGCAUAUUGAAGUGUAUACAGAAUGGAGGGCGCAGAUCGACAGUGCAACAUUCAACUGGAAGCAUUGAGGACAGGUUCAAACCAUGCCCCACCAUUAUUUAGGCCCAAAGAAAAGGAGGGGAAGGGCAAAGGCAGUGGUUAAACUUGUCCCACAAUGUUCCACCUGCUAAUAUACGUUGUGCUCAUUGUUGUGUGUUGUUGUGCCUGUGUAAAGCAGAUAUUUCCUCCUCCUCAGUGCUUCUCCCGGUGCUGCUGUCUGGACUCCUCCUGCUGCUCCUGGCUGUCUCCUACAUGGUCUUCACCCGCCUCCGGACGCCUGCUCUGCCGUCAGUGUUGACCUCGGUGCUUCACUCUGAGGAGAAGCUGGAAGUGUCCUGUCAUCCCGCAGUCUCCUCCCUGCUUCUCAUUGUACCAGCGCCCCCUGAAGGACAGACAGAGCCCUGCAGCACGGCGACGGACAGCAGUGAAGACGAGCAGGACUUGGCCGAGGGCAGAGGGCCCGCUGACACAGUGCUGUACACGAGCAAAGCCUCCCUGUGCUCCGCGUGGGGCUCCACGGCCUCGCGGGGCCCCUCCAAAGCUGCGGAGGUCCAGAUAGAGGGACCAGAGGAGGUGGACCUGCUCACUCUGAUCUUCAGCAGAGACAAAGAAAUGGAUCCGAGUGCUGUGGCUGAAAUGGAAGUCCCACUUUGGAACGUGACGGAGGAGCAGGCUGAACCUGAGGACGAGUUUGGGGAAGACUCUUUUCAAACAGCAUACAUGAGCCGCUGAUCACUUUAGGAUCCUCAAACUAUAUCAUGUGUAUGCUUUACGUACAAUUCACGUACAAUUACCAAUCCGAAAUCUUGCACUGUUCUGAAAACAUCAUUUACAUUUCAUCCAUUGCAUUGCAACUGCGUUUAGAUUUGUGUUUCAUGUUUUAAAACUAGAGGUCAAUUGAUGUGUUUUUGUAAGGCUGUGCCGAUGUGCAUUGCUGAUAUUUUUUAAAAUGUCUAUAAUCCUGUGUACUAAGCCUUUAAACCAGGGGUCACAAAUUAAAUUUCACCAAGGUCCGAAUUGUCGAACAAAGGUCCGGAACAUACGGGGUUAAUUCACAGUUAUAUGAGGAUUUUAAGCCUUUUUUAAUCUAUUACUGUGAUUAGAAAAUAAUGCAGUUAAUUUAAUCCUGUUAUUGUUUUGUUGCUGUAAAAAUAAGUUUUGGCUCCUACUGUAAAUAGCAGAAUGCAUAGGCAGUACUGCAACUGUAGCUUCUAUUAUACACUAUGUGCACAUAAUAUAUGACAGUGAAACUGUGUUUUCCUCUUUGCUCAGUUCAAAACACUGAGCCCUGCUUUGUUCAGGUUUAGUCCUGGUUUAGUCCUGGUUUAGACCUGGUUCUGGUUUAGACCUGCUCGCUACCGAUCGGGAAACAGCCGCGCUAUUUGCGCAUUAGGAUCGUGCGUGCAUAUUUAAUUAGGGCGUCCUCUGCUUUUUUUUUAACAAGCAGUAUUUCAGUCAUUCUCAAACCGUUUCUAAAAGAAUAGUGUCAUGGAGCUAAGAUGUAGGACUUUCUCUUUCUGUUCAUCUGGGCUGUAGUAGUUUAUGCUCUGCAGUCGGAGAGAGAGCGCACACGCAGCCGCUCGUCUGAGGGGAUUCAGAGUCGGGUCCAAAGUUCGGAUCCGAGGUUCGGGUCCGGAUGGGCUGGUGCAAGGGUCCGGAUCCCGACCGAGGUUCGCCGUUUAGUGACCUCUGCUUUAAACUGUAAAAUGAGUCAGUGUUGAGCUGUGACAGUAGGGGGCGCUGUAUAAGGUACAUAGGAAAUCUAAGGUUAACAUAAGGUUCUUCAGAGAGAAGAAGUGUUUUAAAGACAAAUAUCAGCAGAUUUCAGAUAUUAAAAUCUCCAAAAGUCUGCAACAUAAACGUAUACAGGUGAACAAGUGAACGAGGUGAACAAACUUGUGACCUUUUUCACUGUGAUAUUUCUCUGCUCUACUCUUUCAGUUCCGGCCUUUUAUCGACGUCAUAUCGGCCUCCACUUAAAACCCAUAUUACCUUCACUUUACAUUAUAAACACAAAGGAGCAUUCACUUUUGAGAGUUAGCUAAGAAUAUCACUUACUCAGUUAAGAGAGUAAAUUCUCUUCACAGGACCAAAGUAUUCUAAAUCAGAAUAUAUAUAUAAGUCUGUACUACUAAAGAAGAAGUAAAAGUACUUUGAUAAAACGGCACUAAGAAGUAGCUCUCAAUCUUGAAGAAAGUAACAUAAAUGUUAUAAAAUAAUACCAAAUGUUAGAGGCUGGUGGGACUGCCUCACCUGGAACAGCACCGAUGGGCCAGAACCAGAUCAACUUGUGAAGAGGUGAUUGUAAUCAUAGAUGUGAUUUUUGGUAAAUACUAGACCAGUGUUUUUCAACCUUUUUUGAGCCAAGGCACAUUUUUUUCGUUGAAAAAAAUCAUGAGGCACACCAACAGCAGAAAAUGUGUCUUGAAUAGGAACACUGUAUAGUCUCGCUAGCCACAAUAUCACUGUCACCACCACCUGUCACAAUCAUGCAUCACUAAUUCUCUUGUCUCAAAGUAAUGAGCUACCUGCAGCUGAUAUGGAAGAGUAUUACAUGGUGACUCUGUCAAUCACUAGACAGCACAGACACUAGAAAACGGCACAGUAUUUGCGAUAAUAAUUCAUGUGUUUUCAAAAACAUUUUUUCAGACCCACUAGGUGAAAUUGGAUAAUUUCACACGGCACACCAGGCAAUAGCUCACGGCACACUAGUGUGCCACGGCACAGUGGUUGAAAAACACUGUACUAGACGUAUGUGAACUUCUGACCUUGAGGAUAGUUAUUCUACUAAAUAAACUUUCAGGGGAUGAGACAGAUAAAAAUAAAAUUAUCUGAUUCUUUACCCAACCACACUAUAAAGUCUGAUUGAAAGUGUGAGAAUAGAUAUGUAUGUGAAGGUAUGAUUAUUGUAUGUUUGAAAUGCUUUGAGCUGAAAUAACAGUGUUACAGUAAUAUGGUGCCAGUGCAUUAGUCAUACAUGUACAUGUUUCUGUCUGUACUGUGGUUUCUGUUGUUUACUCUGACUGAAAUAUACAGUAUGUGUUUUUAUGCAUUAAAUCAUG